RNAcentral lists this ribosomal RNA (468 nucleotides) under uncultured bacterium. Its description in RNAcentral is "partial 16S ribosomal RNA". It matches the Rfam family "Bacterial small subunit ribosomal RNA", at positions 28 to 507 of the family's 1533-position model. The record is from RNAcentral.
GACGAACGCUGGCGGCGUGCUUAACACAUGCAAGUCGAACGGACAGGCCCUGCUUUUGUGGGGUGCUCGAGUGGCGAACGGGGGAGUAACACGUGAGUAACCUGCCCUUGUCUUUGGGAUAACUUCAGGAAACUGGGGCUAAUAUCGGAUAGGAUCUCCUGCUGCAUGGUGGGGGUUGGAAAGAUUCGGCGGUUGGGGCUGGACUCGCGGCUUAUCCGCUUGUUGGGGGGGUAGUGGAUGUCCAAGCUUUUGACGGGUAGCCGGCCUGGGAGGGUGACCGGCCACAAUGGGACUGAGAGACGGACCAGACUGGUACGGGAGGCAGCGGUGGGGAACAUUGCGGAGUGGGCGGACGUGUGAUGCAGCGACGCCGCGUGCGUGAUGAUGGCCUUCGGGUUGUAAACCGCUUUCGACUGUGACGAAGCGUGAGUGACGGUAAUGGGUAAGGAAGCACCGGCUAACUACGUG